GCGGUAAUACCAGCUCUCCGAGUGGUGUGGAUAAUUAUUGGGCCUAAAGCAUCCGUAGCCGGCUGGGUAAGUCCCCUGUUAAAUCCAGCGAUUUAAUCGCUGGCAUGCGGGGGAUACUACUCGGCUAGGGGGCGGGAGAGGCCGUCGGUAUUCCCGGGGUAGGGGUGAAAUCCUAUAAUCCCGG
Molecule: ribosomal RNA, 184 nt
Filed under: uncultured archaeon
Lineage: Archaea
Description: partial 16S ribosomal RNA
Rfam family: Archaeal small subunit ribosomal RNA
Source: RNAcentral